Molecule: ribosomal RNA, 1338 nt
Filed under: uncultured bacterium
Lineage: Bacteria
Description: bacterial SSU rRNA
Rfam family: Bacterial small subunit ribosomal RNA
Source: RNAcentral
GACGAACGCCGGCGGCGUGCUUAACACAUGCAAGUCGAACGGAAAGGCCCUUCGGGGUACUCGAGUGGCGAACGGGUGAGUAACACGUGGGUGAUCUGCCCUGCACUUCGGGAUAAGCCUGGGAAACUGGGUCUAAUACCGGAUAGGACUACGAAUCGCAUGGUUUGUGGUGGAAAGCUUUUGCGGUGUGGGAUGGGCCCGCGGCCUAUCAGCUUGUUGGUGGGGUGAUGGCCUACCAAGGCGACGACGGGUAGCCGGCCUGAGAGGGUGACCGGCCACACUGGGACUGAGAUACGGCCCAGACUCCUACGGGAGGCAGCAGUGGGGAAUAUUGCACAAUGGGCGCAAGCCUGAUGCAGCGACGCCGCGUGAGGGAUGACGGCCUUCGGGUUGUAAACCUCUUUCAGCAGGGACGAAGCGCAAGUGACGGUACCUGUAGAAGAAGGACCGGCCAACUACGUGCCAGCAGCCGCGGUAAUACGUAGGGUCCGAGCGUUGUCCGGAAUUACUGGGCGUAAAGAGCUCGUAGGUGGUUUGUCACGUUGUUCGUGAAAACUCACAGCUCAACUGUGGGCGUGCGGGCGAUACGGGCAGACUUGAGUACUGCAGGGGAGACUGGAAUUCCUGGUGUAGCGGUGGAAUGCGCAGAUAUCAGGAGGAACACCGGUGGCGAAGGCGGGUCUCUGGGCAGUAACUGACGCUGAGGAGCGAAAGCGUGGGGAGCGAACAGGAUUAGAUACCCUGGUAGUCCACGCCGUAAACGGUGGGUACUAGGUGUGGGUUUCCUUCCUUGGGAUCCGUGCCGUAGCUAACGCAUUAAGUACCCCGCCUGGGGAGUACGGCCGCAAGGCUAAAACUCAAAGAAAUUGACGGGGGCCCGCACAAGCGGCGGAGCAUGUGGAUUAAUUCGAUGCAACGCGAAGAACCUUACCUGGGUUUGACAUGCACAGGACGCUGGUAGAGAUAUCAGUUCCCUUGUGGCCUGUGUGCAGGUGGUGCAUGGCUGUCGUCAGCUCGUGUCGUGAGAUGUUGGGUUAAGUCCCGCAACGAGCGCAACCCUUGUCUCAUGUUGCCAGCACGUAAUGGUGGGGACUCGUGAGAGACUGCCGGGGUCAACUCGGAGGAAGGUGGGGAUGACGUCAAGUCAUCAUGCCCCCUAUGUCCAGGGCUUCACACAUGCUACAAUGGCCGGUACAAAGGGCUGCGAUGCCGUGAGGUGGAGCGAAUCCUUUCAAAGCCGGUCUCAGUUCGGAUCGGGGUCUGCAACUCGACCCCGUGAAGUCGGAGUCGCUAGUAAUCGCAGAUCAGCAACGCUGCGGUGAAUACGUUCCCGGGCCU